This 503-nucleotide ribosomal RNA is filed under the name uncultured bacterium. Its description in RNAcentral is "partial 16S ribosomal RNA". It matches the Rfam family "Bacterial small subunit ribosomal RNA", at positions 28 to 523 of the family's 1533-position model. The record is from RNAcentral.
GAUGAACGCUAGCGACAGGCUUAACACAUGCAAGUCGAGGGGCAGCAUAGAAGUAGCAAUACUUUGGUGGCGACCGGCGCACGGGUGAGUAACGCGUAUGCAACCUACCUAUCAGAGGGGAAUAACCCGGCGAAAGUCGGACUAAUACCGCAUAAAACAGGGGCACCGCAUGGUGAUAUUUGUUAAAGAAAUUCGCUGAUAGAUGGGCAUGCGUUCCAUUAGGUAGUUGGUGAGGUACCGGCUCACGAAGCCGACGGUGGAUAGGGGACCUGAGAGGUUGGUCACCCAAACUGGUAAUGCGACACGGACCAGACUCCUACGGGAGGCAGCGGUGAGGAAGAUUGGUCAAUGGGCGAGAGCCUGAACCAGCCAAGUCGCGUGAAGGAAGAAGGAUCUAUGGUUCGUAAACUUCUUUUGCAGGGGAAUAAAGUGCAGGACGUGUCCUGUUUUGUAUGUACCCUGAGAAUAAGGAUCGGCUAACUCCGUGCCAGCAGCCGCUGUAA